This 98-nucleotide transfer RNA is filed under the name Lachnospiraceae bacterium. RNAcentral's name for it is "tRNA-His". Lineage: Bacteria; Bacillati; Bacillota; Clostridia; Lachnospirales; Lachnospiraceae. The record is from RNAcentral.
AGAACAAUGGUGAAUGUGGAGGAGCCACCUGCUUCUGUGGUGAGCAGGUCGGCGCCAUCAGUGGUGCCGGUUUGGAUGAUCGUGACACCGUUGGUGUC